AUGAGGCAUAUAUCCUCUUUGCUUGCGAUAGUUUAUCAAUCAUUACAUGUCCGAGCACCAUUGAUGACACUUAUUGAACAAGAUAUCAUUAAAAGCUCAAACUUAAAGAACUCCAAUCGAUAUGUAAAUGAUUGCACCAUUAAAAUGUUGAAUGCUAUACUGUUGGCUGGGGAGACGGAAGGACAAGAACAUCCAUCUUCACAUCUUAAUCCAUUCUCCAAAAAUGUUAAAGAUUUUGUAAAGACUGAUUUGCGAGGCUGA
This is a non-coding RNA of Vicia faba (fava bean), 261 nucleotides long. The record is from the annotation of a GenBank genome assembly. Lineage: Eukaryota; Viridiplantae; Streptophyta; Magnoliopsida; Fabales; Fabaceae.